This 253-nucleotide ribosomal RNA is filed under the name uncultured bacterium. RNAcentral's name for it is "partial 16S ribosomal RNA". It matches the Rfam family "Bacterial small subunit ribosomal RNA", at positions 524 to 776 of the family's 1533-position model. The record is from RNAcentral.
UACGUAGGGUGCGAGCGUUGUCCGGAAUUAUUGGGCGUAAAGAGCUUGUAGGCGGUUUGUCGCGUCUGCUGUGAAAAUCCGGGGCUCAACCCCGGACUUGCAGUGGGUACGGGCAGACUAGAGUGUGGUAGGGGAGACUGGAAUUCCUGGUGUAGCGGUGAAAUGCGCAGAUAUCAGGAGGAACACCGAUGGCGAAGGCGGUUCUCUGGGCCUUACCUGACGCUGAGGAGCGAAAGCGUGGGGAGCGAACAGG